RNAcentral lists this ribosomal RNA (946 nucleotides) under Piptocephalis sp. RNAcentral describes it as "SSU rRNA". It matches the Rfam family "Eukaryotic small subunit ribosomal RNA", at positions 128 to 1099 of the family's 1831-position model. The record is from RNAcentral. Lineage: Eukaryota; Fungi; Zoopagomycota; Zoopagomycetes; Zoopagales; Piptocephalidaceae.
ACCUUUACAACUUGGAUAACCGUGGUAAUUCUUGAGCUAAUACAAGCAUCACGCCCCGACUUCUGGUAGGGUGUAUUUAAUAGAUAAAAGCCAACCCGGGCAACCGGUCCUUUGGUGAUUCAUAUAACUUUUCGGAUCGCUAUCGUAGCGAUGGUUCAUUCAAAUUUCUGCCCUAUCAACUUUCGAUGGUAGGAUAGAGGCCUCCAUGGUUUUUACGGGUAACGGGGAAUUAGGGUUCGAUUCCGGAGAGGGAGCCUGAGAAACGGCUACCACAUCCAAGGAGGGCAGCAGGACGCGCAAAUUACCCAAUCGUGACACAGGGAGGUAGUGACAAGAAAUAACAUACAGGGCCCUUUCGGGUCUUGUAAUUGGAAUGAGUACAAUCCAAACCCCUUAACGAGGAACAAUUGGAGGGCAAGUCUGGUGCCAGCAGCCGCGGUAAUUCCAGCUCCAAUAGCGUAUAUUAAAGUUGUUGCAGUUAAAAGCUCCGUAGUUGAAUUUCGGGGCGGGGUCGGGUGGUCCGUCGGCAACGAUGUGUACUGCCAACGACCCUCCCUUUCCUCCUGGGCGACUGCGCAUCCCGCAAGGGGGCGUAGUCCACUCCGGAAUUUUACUUUGAAAAAAUUAGAGUGUUCAAAGCAGGCAUAACCGCUCGUAUACAUUAGCAUGGAAUAAUAGAAUAGGACAGUGGUCCUAAUUUUGUUGGCUUCAGGACCGCGUAAUGAUAAUAGGAACAGUUGGGGGCAUUUGUAUGGGGAGCUAGAGGUGAAAUUCUUGGAUUCCCCAAGACAAACUCUGCGAAAGCAUUUGCCAAGGAUGUUUUCAUAAUCAAGAACGAAAGUUAGGGGAUCGAAGACGAUUAGAUACCGUCGUAGUCUUAACCAUACACGAUGCCGACUAGGGAUCAGAUCAGUGUUACUUAAGCCUGUUGGCCCUAUGAGAAAUC